RNAcentral lists this ribosomal RNA (496 nucleotides) under uncultured Glomeromycotina. RNAcentral describes it as "partial small subunit ribosomal RNA". It matches the Rfam family "Eukaryotic small subunit ribosomal RNA", at positions 591 to 1092 of the family's 1831-position model. The record is from RNAcentral. Lineage: Eukaryota; Fungi; Glomeromycota.
CCAAUAGCGUAUAUUAAAGUUGUUGCAGUUAAAAAGCUCGUAGUUGAAUUUUGGGUUUGGCCGAUUGGUCCGUUCUUGUAACGAGUACUGGUCGGUUGGGCCUCACCGCUUGGUGAUGCGUAAUGCCCUUUAUUGGGUGUUGCGAGUAGCCAAGACCUUUACCUUGAAAAAAUUAGAGUGUUUAAAGCAGGCAUAUGCCGGAAUACAUUAGCAUGGAAUAAUAGAAUAGGACAACGAUUCUAUUUUGUUGGUUUCUAGGACCGUUGUAAUGAUUAAUAGGGAUAGUUGGGGGCAUUAGUAUUCAAUUGUCAGAGGUGAAAUUCUUGGAUUUAUUGAAGACUAACUACUGCGAAAGCAUUUGCCAAGGAUGUUUUCAUUAAUCAAGAACGAAAGUUAGGGGAUCGAAGACGAUCAGAUACCGUCGUAGUCUUAACCAUAAACUAUGCCGACUAGGGAUCGGGCGAAGUUGUUUCAAUGACUCGCUCGGCACCUUAUG